UGGGGAAUUUUGCACAAUGGGCGCAAGCCUGAUGCAGCCAUGCCGCGUGUGUGAAGAAGGCCUUCGGGUUGUAAAGCACUUUCAGCGGGGAGGAAGGCGUUAAGGUUAAUAACCUUGGCGAUUGACGUUACCCGCAGAAGAAGCACCGGCUAACUCCGUGCCAGCAGCCGCGGUAAUACGGAGGGUGCAAGCGUUAAUCGGAAUUACUGGGCGUAAAGCGCACGCAGGCGGUCUGUAAAGUCGGAUGUGAAAUCCCCGGGCUCAACCUGGGAACUGCAUUCGAAACUGGCAGGCUAGAGUCUUGUAGAGGGGGGUAGAAUUCCAGGUGUAGCGGUGAAAUGCGUAGAGAUCUGGAGGAAUACCGGUGGCGAAGGCGGCCCCCUGGACAAAGACUGACGCUCAGGUGCGAAAGCGUGGGGAGCAAACAGG
This 429-nucleotide ribosomal RNA is filed under the name Chloroflexota bacterium. RNAcentral describes it as "Chloroflexi bacterium partial 16S ribosomal RNA". It matches the Rfam family "Bacterial small subunit ribosomal RNA", at positions 355 to 776 of the family's 1533-position model. Lineage: Bacteria; Bacillati; Chloroflexota. The record is from RNAcentral.